AAUAGAUACCCCGGUAGUCCACGCCGUAAACGAUGUCGACUUGGAGGUUGUUCCCUUGAGGAGUGGCUUCCGGAGCUAACGCGUUAAGUCGACCGCCUGGGGAGUACGGCCGCAAGGUUAAAACUCAAAUGAAUUGACGGGGGCCCGCACAAGCGGUGGAGCAUGUGGUUUAAUUCGAUGCAACGCGAAGAACCUUACCUACUCUUGACAUCCACGGAACUUUUCAGAGAUGAAUUGGUGCCUUCGGGAACCGUGAGACAGGUGCUGCAUGGCUGUCGUCAGCUCGUGUUGUGAAAUGUUGGGUUAAGUCCCGCAACGAGCGCAACCCUUAUCCUUUGUUGCCAGCGGGUUUAGGGCCGGGAACUCAAAGGAGACUGCCAGUGAUAAACUGGAGGAAGGUGGGGAUGACGUCAAGUCAUCAUGGCCCUUACGAGUAGGGCUACACACGUGCUACAAUGGCGCAUACAAAGAGAAGCGACCUCGCGAGAGCAAGCGGACCUCAUAAAGUGCGUCGUAGUCCGGAUUGGAGUCUGCAACUCGACU
RNAcentral lists this ribosomal RNA (543 nucleotides) under uncultured bacterium. Its description in RNAcentral is "bacterial SSU rRNA". It matches the Rfam family "Bacterial small subunit ribosomal RNA", at positions 777 to 1317 of the family's 1533-position model. The record is from RNAcentral.